CUGCAUUUAACAGACCAAUAAUUGAUAUGAAAAUACACAAAUAUGAUUAUAUACUAAAAAUACAAAAUCUUUCGUGACACUAUUAAGAGGAGAUUGUCUAAAAAAAUGUACUUUCAAUGUAUGGCAAGUCGUUAUAUACUGAAUAAUUACAAAAGCCUUAUGGCAGAAAAACUUAACAGUAAAUGCCAAAAUAAAAUAAUUAAAUUCUUAGCGUGAUACUGUAUUAAGUCUUAGAAGAUUUCACAAAAUGGUACUAUCAUUAUCAACUGGAAGCAAACAAAAAAUUGUUUUAAGGUAAGUAAGGGGCAUAAUAUAAUUUCAAUACAUUCAAAUUUAACUUGACAUGUGUUUCAUGGUUCAUGAAAAUGAGUAAAACAAUUUCAAAGAUUUGGUCUAGUGUUACUUAAAUUUUCAUCUGUUAACUUUACUUGUGACAGAAGGACAUGUGCAUCACUAUAUACCUCCUUUUAAAAGUGGUGAAUACAAAAUAAUGCAUGAUGCUGUAGAAGUAUUCCUUUUCCGCCCCUUCAUUUAUUUUAUUUUCUAUAGAUGUAGAUUUAACUGCAAGAAUGUUUAUUUUUACAGCAAAAUUAUAUCAAAUUUUUAAAAUGUUUCAAUGGGGAGAUCCCAAGUAGUUAACACUCCUUAGAAAAGAGAUCUUUGGGUGAAUUUAAAUUUUUUUUUUACAGGAGAGCUUACACUAAAUCAGGUAGAAGUGAUAUCUUUGACAAACAUGCAUUUUUGUUUAUCAAUUGAAAUUAGUAUUUAACAGGUUUCUAACAACAUUAUUAUAAAUUAAGCAAAAACAACAAUCUGGUUAUGAAAAAAACUUUACUUUCUAUUGAGAUCAAGAAGUGCAAAAACUACAUAAAAUUUGUUGAACACUAUGCCUACAGCUAUAUAAUUACAUAUGUUUUGUUCCAUCUGUUUUAUACAUGUAAUAAAAUUUUAAAUAUUUUUUGUGACAAUACAGUAAUUUUUAUCAACUUUAUAAAUAGAGGAUACCUUUUAUUUUGCAUUCUUAAAAAAGCAGCUAUUUGAAAAAAAUUGUGAAAUAGAAGCUUCUUUGGUUUCUAGGUGUAUAAAUAAACUUUUUCAACUAUGGUAUACAUUGAUUAAUGACAUCAGUUAGGUCUUAUAUUGGCAACUGGGCGUCUUCAUGCUUCAAAUGACAAAAUAAUUAUGCCAGCUCAAAGUUGACCAAGCAUCACUGAUUCUUAUGUACAAUAUUCAACCUUUACUGCAGAAAAGUGUCAUCUUUUAUCAUUAUUUACAUUUAUCUUUUAUGAAUGCAAUAUAUAUAGCCAAUGUACAAACAAGUAUUUUAUGCCCAACAAAUACAAAUUGACGUCAAGAAAGCUUACACGGUUGAAGACCAAAUACUUUAAUGGAAUGAUUACGAUUGGAAUUGCGGGAUAUUGAGAAUUAAUGUUUCAUCGAGGUAAUAGGUAUUUUUAAUUUUUUUCAGAAAAUGGGGAUGAGAUAUUAAAAAAUUUCCAUUUGUUCUUUUACAUAAUUCUGUUGUGUUUAAAUAAGAGAAAAACAGAACUUUAUGAAAACGGAGGACCUCCAAAUCUUUAACAUGUACUAACAUUAUUACAUAGCAUUUUCCUAAACAAACUGGACUAAAACUUGGUAAUGAAACAAUCGAUAGGCGAACAUUAUCACUUGGGACUUUAUCAAUAUAUAAUACAAACAUGGAAUAAAAAUCUAAAUAAACACAUUUUACAUGCACCAAUAUUAAUUAUGCAACAACAAAAUCUGCACCAAUUUGUGACCUAAAUGCAUAUUGUGACUUCUAAAAUAUAUUUUUUUCCCUGAAUAAAUUACAGAAUUUCCAAAAGAGGCGUUCUAUAAGUAAGAAAAGCUCUUGAAUAAAAAUAACAAGAGGAAUAUUACAUCAAUAAGAGCCUCCCUAUUUUCACAACACUAUUUUACCAAAAAAUAUGCAAAAUAUAUAAGUAAACUGAAUAUUUAAAAUUUCACAAUACAGUAGCAUCUUAAACAUAUAUUUGAGAGCGGUUUGACAAAUAU
This 2034-nucleotide long non-coding RNA is filed under the name Mytilus galloprovincialis (Mediterranean mussel). The record is from RNAcentral. Lineage: Eukaryota; Metazoa; Mollusca; Bivalvia; Mytilida; Mytilidae.